RNAcentral lists this ribosomal RNA (485 nucleotides) under uncultured bacterium. Its description in RNAcentral is "partial 16S ribosomal RNA". It matches the Rfam family "Bacterial small subunit ribosomal RNA", at positions 29 to 507 of the family's 1533-position model. The record is from RNAcentral.
AUGAACGCUGGCGGCAUGCCUUACACAUGCAAGUCGAACGGCAGCACGGGUGCUUGCACCUGGUGGCGAGUGGCGAACGGGUGAGUAAUACAUCGGAACAUGUCCUGUAGUGGGGGAUAGCCCGGCGAAAGCCGGAUUAAUACCGCAUACGAUCUACGGAUGAAAGCGGGGGACCUUCGGGCCUCGCGCUAUAGGGUUGGCCGAUGGCUGAUUAGCUAGUUGGUGGGGUAAAGGCCCACCAAGGCGACGAUCAGUAGCUGGUCUGAGAGGACGACCAGCCACACUGGGACUGAGACACGGCCCAGACUCCUACGGGAGGCAGCAGUGGGGAAUUUUGGACAAUGGGCGAAAGCCUGAUCCAGCAAUGCCGCGUGUGUGAAGAAGGCCUUCGGGUUGUAAAGCACUUUUGUCCGGAAAGAAAUCCUUGGCCCUAAUACGGUCGGGGGAUGACGGUACCGGAAGAAUAAGCACCGGCUAACUACGUG